This 422-nucleotide ribosomal RNA is filed under the name uncultured bacterium. RNAcentral's name for it is "bacterial SSU rRNA". It matches the Rfam family "Bacterial small subunit ribosomal RNA", at positions 355 to 774 of the family's 1533-position model. The record is from RNAcentral.
UGAGGAAUAUUGGUCAAUGGGUGCAAGCCUGAACCAGCCAUCCCGCGUGAAGGACGACUGCCCUAUGGGUUGUAAACUUCUUUUGUAUAGGGAUAAACCUACCCUCGUGAGGGUAGCUGAAGGUACUAUACGAAUAAGCACCGGCUAACUCCGUGCCAGCAGCCGCGGUAAUACGGAGGGUGCAAGCGUUAUCCGGAUUUAUUGGGUUUAAAGGGUCCGUAGGCGGACUUAUAAGUCAGUGGUGAAAGCCUGUCGCUUAACGAUAGAACUGCCAUCGAUACUGUAAGUCUUGAGUAUAUUUGAGGUAGCUGGAAUAAGUAGUGUAGCGGUGAAAUGCAUAGAUAUUACUUAGAACACCAAUGGCGAAGGCAGGUUACCAAGAUAUAACUGACGCUGAGGGACGAAAGCGUGGGGAGCGAACA